GAUGAACGCUGGCGGCGUGCCUAAUACAUGCAAGUCGAGCGAACAGACGAGUAUCUUGCUCCUCAGACGUUAGCGGCGGACGGGUGAGUAACACGUGGAUAACCUACCUAUAAGACUGGGAUAACUUCUGGAAACCGGGCCUAAUACCGGAUAAUAUAUUGAACCGCAUGGGUCAAUAGUGAAAGACGGGUUUGCUGGCACUUUUAUAUGUUUCCGCGCCGCAUUAGCUAGUUGGUAAGGUAACGGCUUACCACGGCAACGGUGCAUAGCCGACCUGAGAGGGUGAUCGGCCACACUGGAACUGAGACACGGUCCAGACUCCUACGGGAGGCAGCAGUAGGGAAUCUUCCGAAAUGGGCGAAAGCUUGACGGAGCAACGCCGCGUGAGUGAUGAAGGUCUUCGGAUCGUAAAACUCUGUUAUUAGGGAAGAACAAAUGUGUAAGUAACUAUGCACGUCUUGACGGUACCUAAUCAGAAAGCCACGGCUAACUACGUG
This 497-nucleotide ribosomal RNA is filed under the name uncultured bacterium. RNAcentral's name for it is "partial 16S ribosomal RNA". It matches the Rfam family "Bacterial small subunit ribosomal RNA", at positions 28 to 507 of the family's 1533-position model. The record is from RNAcentral.